Molecule: ribosomal RNA, 2613 nt
Filed under: Shigella boydii
Lineage: Bacteria; Pseudomonadati; Pseudomonadota; Gammaproteobacteria; Enterobacterales; Enterobacteriaceae
Also listed under: 1 other name
Description: partial 23S ribosomal RNA
Rfam family: Bacterial large subunit ribosomal RNA
Source: RNAcentral
UCUGGAAAGGCGUGCGAUACAGGGUGACAGCCCCGUACACAAAAAUGCACAUACUGUGAGCUCGAUGAGUAGGGCGGGACACGUGGUAUCCUGUCUGAAUAUGGGGGGACCAUCCUCCAAGGCUAAAUACUCCUGACUGACCGAUAGUGAACCAGUACCGUGAGGGAAAGGCGAAAAGAACCCCGGCGAGGGGAGUGAAAAAGAACCUGAAACCGUGUACGUACAAGCAGUGGGAGCACGCUUAGGCGUGUGACUGCGUACCUUUUGUAUAAUGGGUCAGCGACUUAUAUUCUGUAGCAAGGUUAACCGAAUAGGGGAGCCGAAGGGAAACCGAGUCUUAACUGGGCGUUAAGUUGCAGGGUAUAGACCCGAAACCCGGUGAUCUAGCCAUGGGCAGGUUGAAGGUUGGGUAACACUAACUGGAGGACCGAACCGACUAAUGUUGAAAAAUUAGCGGAUGACUUGUGGCUGGGGGUGAAAGGCCAAUCAAACCGGGAGAUAGCUGGUUCUCCCCGAAAGCUAUUUAGGUAGCGCCUCGUGAAUUCAUCUCCGGGGGUAGAGCACUGUUUCGGCAAGGGGGUCAUCCCGACUUACCAACCCGAUGCAAACUGCGAAUACCGGAGAAUGUUAUCACGGGAGACACACGGCGGGUGCUAACGUCCGUCGUGAAGAGGGAAACAACCCAGACCGCCAGCUAAGGUCCCAAAGUCAUGGUUAAGUGGGAAACGAUGUGGGAAGGCCCAGACAGCCAGGAUGUUGGCUUAGAAGCAGCCAUCAUUUAAAGAAAGCGUAAUAGCUCACUGGUCGAGUCGGCCUGCGCGGAAGAUGUAACGGGGCUAAACCAUGCACCGAAGCUGCGGCAGCGACGCUUAUGCGUUGUUGGGUAGGGGAGCGUUCUGUAAGCCUGUGAAGGUGUGCUGUGAGGUAUGCUGGAGGUAUCAGAAGUGCGAAUGCUGACAUAAGUAACGAUAAAGCGGGUGAAAAGCCCGCUCGCCGGAAGACCAAGGGUUCCUGUCCAACGUUAAUCGGGGCAGGGUGAGUCGACCCCUAAGGCGAGGCCGAAAGGCGUAGUCGAUGGGAAACAGGUUAAUAUUCCUGUACUUGGUGUUACUGCGAAGGGGGGACGGAGAAGGCUAUGUUGGCCGGGCGACGGUUGUCCCGGUUUAAGCGUGUAGGCUGGUUUUCCAGGCAAAUCCGGAAAAUCAAGGCCGAGGCGUGAUGACGAGGCACUACGGUGCUGAAGCAACAAAUGCCCUGCUUCCAGGAAAAGCCUCUAAGCAUCAGGUAACAUCAAAUCGUACCCCAAACCGACACAGGUGGUCAGGUAGAGAAUACCAAGGCGCUUGAGAGAACUCGGGUGAAGGAACUAGGCAAAAUGGUGCCGUAACUUCGGGAGAAGGCACGCUGAUACGUAGGUGAAGCGACUUGCUCGUGGAGCUGAAAUCAGUCGAAGAUACCAGCUGGCUGCAACUGUUUAUUAAAAACACAGCACUGUGCAAACACGAAAGUGGACGUAUACGGUGUGACGCCUGCCCGGUGCCGGAAGGUUAAUUGAUGGGGUUAGCGCAAGCGAAGCUCUUGAUCGAAGCCCCGGUAAACGGCGGCCGUAACUAUAACGGUCCUAAGGUAGCGAAAUUCCUUGUCGGGUAAGUUCCGACCUGCACGAAUGGCGUAAUGAUGGCCAGGCUGUCUCCACCCGAGACUCAGUGAAAUUGAACUCGCUGUGAAGAUGCAGUGUACCCGCGGCAAGACGGAAAGACCCCGUGAACCUUUACUAUAGCUUGACACUGAACAUUGAGCCUUGAUGUGUAGGAUAGGUGGGAGGCUUUGAAGUGUGGACGCCAGUCUGCAUGGAGCCGACCUUGAAAUACCACCCUUUAAUGUUUGAUGUUCUAACGUGGACCCGUGAUCCGGGUUGCGGACAGUGUCUGGUGGGUAGUUUGACUGGGGCGGUCUCCUCCUAAAGAGUAACGGAGGAGCACGAAGGUUGGCUAAUCCUGGUCGGACAUCAGGAGGUUAGUGCAAUGGCAUAAGCCAGCUUGACUGCGAGCGUGACGGCGCGAGCAGGUGCGAAAGCAGGUCAUAGUGAUCCGGUGGUUCUGAAUGGAAGGGCCAUCGCUCAACGGAUAAAAGGUACUCCGGGGAUAACAGGCUGAUACCGCCCAAGAGUUCAUAUCGACGGCGGUGUUUGGCACCUCGAUGUCGGCUCAUCACAUCCUGGGGCUGAAGUAGGUCCCAAGGGUAUGGCUGUUCGCCAUUUAAAGUGGUACGCGAGCUGGGUUUAGAACGUCGUGAGACAGUUCGGUCCCUAUCUGCCGUGGGCGCUGGAGAACUGAGGGGGGCUGCUCCUAGUACGAGAGGACCGGAGUGGACGCAUCACUGGUGUUCGGGUUGUCAUGCCAAUGGCACUGCCCGGUAGCUAAAUGCGGAAGAGAUAAGUGCUGAAAGCAUCUAAGCACGAAACUUGCCCCGAGAUGAGUUCUCCCUGACCCUUUAAGGGUCCUGAAGGAACGUUGAAGACGACGACGUUGAUAGGCCGGGUGUGUAAGCGCAGCGAUGCGUUGAGCUAACCGGUACUAAUGAACCGUGAGGCUUAACCUUACAACGCCGAAG